Molecule: ribosomal RNA, 796 nt
Filed under: uncultured Pelagibacteraceae bacterium
Lineage: Bacteria; Pseudomonadati; Pseudomonadota; Alphaproteobacteria; Candidatus Pelagibacterales; Candidatus Pelagibacteraceae
Description: bacterial SSU rRNA
Rfam family: Bacterial small subunit ribosomal RNA
Source: RNAcentral
CGCUUAACACAUGCAAGUCGAACGCAGUAGCAAUACUGAGUGGCAGACGGGUGAGUAUAAUGUGGGAAUCUGCCUUUUGGUUCGGAAUAACUCGGGGAAACUUGAGCUAAUACCGGAUAAGCCCUUACGGGGAAAGAUUUAUCGCCGAAAGAUGAGCCCGCACUUGAUUAGCUUGUUGGUGAGGUAAUAGCUCACCAAGGCAACAAUCAAUAGCUGUUCUUAGAGGAAGACCAGCCACAUUGGGACUGAGACACGGCCCAGACUCCUACGGGAGGCAGCAGUGGGGAAUCUUGCACAAUGGGGGAAACCCUGAUGCAGCGAUGCCGCGUGAGUGAAGAAGGCCUUUGGGUUGUAAAACUCUUUCGUCGGGGAAGAAAAUGACUGUACCCGAAUAAGAAGGUCCGGCUAACUUCGUGCCAGCAGCCGCGGUAAUACGAAGGGACCUAGCGUAGUUCGGAAUUACUGGGCUUAAAGAGCUCGUAGGUGGUUAAAAAAGUUGGUGGUGAAAUCCCAAGGCUUAACCUUGGAACUGCCAUCAAAACUUUUUAGCUAGAGUGUGAUAGAGGAAAGUGGAAUUUCUAGUGUAGAGGUGAAAUUCGUAGAUAUUAGAAAGAACACCAAAAGCGAAGGCAACUUUCUGGAUCACUACUGACACUGAGGAGCGAAAGCAUGGGUAGCGAAGAGGAUUAGAUACCCUCGUAGUCCAUGCUGUAAACGAUGUGUGCUAGACGUUGGAAAUUUUAUUUUCAGUGUCGCAGCAAAAGCGUUAAGCACACCGCCUGGGGAGUACGACCGC